Molecule: ribosomal RNA, 694 nt
Filed under: Campylobacter jejuni
Lineage: Bacteria; Pseudomonadati; Campylobacterota; Epsilonproteobacteria; Campylobacterales; Campylobacteraceae
Description: bacterial SSU rRNA
Rfam family: Bacterial small subunit ribosomal RNA
Source: RNAcentral
CUCAGUAAUGCAGCUAACGCAUUAAGUGUACCGCCUGGGGAGUACGGUCGCAAGAUUAAAACUCAAAGGAAUAGACGGGGACCCGCACAAGCGGUGGAGCAUGUGGUUUAAUUCGAAGAUACGCGAAGAACCUUACCUGGGCUUGAUAUCCUAAGAACCUUUUAGAGAUAAGAGGGUGCUAGCUUGCUAGAACUUAGAGACAGGUGCUGCACGGCUGUCGUCAGCUCGUGUCGUGAGAUGUUGGGUUAAGUCCCGCAACGAGCGCAACCCACGUAUUUAGUUGCUAACGGUUCGGCCGAGCACUCUAAAUAGACUGCCUUCGUAAGGAGGAGGAAGGUGUGGACGACGUCAAGUCAUCAUGGCCCUUAUGCCCAGGGCGACACACGUGCUACAAUGGCAUAUACAAUGAGACGCAAUACCGCGAGGUGGAGCAAAUCUAUAAAAUAUGUCCCAGUUCGGAUUGUUCUCUGCAACUCGAGAGCAUGAAGCCGGAAUCGCUAGUAAUCGUAGAUCAGCCAUGCUACGGUGAAUACGUUCCCGGGUCUUGUACUCACCGCCCGUCACACCAUGGGAGUUGAUUUCACUCGAAGCCGGAAUACUAAACUAGUUACCGUCCACAGUGGAAUCAGCGACUGGGGUGAAGUCGUAACAAGGUAACCGUAGGAGAACCUGCGGUUGGAUCACCUCCUUUCUA